CCUACGGGAGGCAGCAGUAGGGAAUCUUCCACAAUGGGCGAAAGCCUGAUGGAGCAACGCCGCGUGAGUGAUGAAGGCCUUCGGGUUGUAAAACUCUGUCAUUCGGGACGAACCGGAGUCUGAGGAAAUGCAGACUCUCUGACGGUACCGGAGGAGGAAGCCCCGGCUAACUACGUGCCAGCAGCCGCGGUAAUACGUAGGGGGCAAGCGUUGUCCGGAUUCACUGGGCGUAAAGCGCGCGCAGGCGGUGAUGUAAGUCUGAGGUGAAAACCCGAAGCUCAACUUCGGGACUGCCUUGGAUACUGCGUCACUUGAGGAUAGGAGAGGCAAGGGGAAUUCCACGUGUAGCGGUGAAAUGCGUAGAGAUGUGGAGGAACACCUGUGGCGAAGGCGCCUUGCUGGCCUAUUUCUGACGCUGAGGCGCGAAAGCGUGGGGAGCAAACAGGAUUAGAUACCCUGGUAGUCCACGCUGUAAACGAUGAGUGCUAGGUGUAGGUGGGCUCAUACCACUCUGUGCGACGACGUACGCAUAAGACACCUCCGCCCGUCGGGGUAGGUACGGGUCCGGUCGACGACGUACGAAACGUACGAAACGGAAAGUUAGGUUACGGCGUUGGAGGACGUUGGCCGACGGGACGACCGACGAGGGGAGGUUAGGG
RNAcentral lists this ribosomal RNA (659 nucleotides) under uncultured bacterium. RNAcentral's name for it is "bacterial SSU rRNA". The stretch from base 1 to 545 matches the Rfam family "Bacterial small subunit ribosomal RNA", at positions 338 to 873 of the family's 1533-position model. The record is from RNAcentral.